Molecule: ribosomal RNA, 429 nt
Filed under: Chloroflexota bacterium
Lineage: Bacteria; Bacillati; Chloroflexota
Description: Chloroflexi bacterium partial 16S ribosomal RNA
Rfam family: Bacterial small subunit ribosomal RNA
Source: RNAcentral
UGGGGAAUCUUCGGCAAUGGACGAAAGUCUGACCGAGCAACGCCGCGUGAGUGAAGAAGGUUUUCGGAUCGUAAAACUCUGUUGUUAGAGAAGAACAAGGACGUUAGUAACUGAACGUCCCCUGACGGUAUCUAACCAGAAAGCCACGGCUAACUACGUGCCAGCAGCCGCGGUAAUACGUAGGUGGCAAGCGUUGCCCGGAUUUAUUGGGCGUAAAGCGAGCGCAGGCGGUUUCUUAAGUCGGAUGUGAAAGCCCCCGGCUCAACCGGGGAGGGUCAUUGGAAACUGGGAGACUUGAGUGCAGAAGAGGAGAGUGGAAUUCCAUGUGUAGCGGUGAAAUGCGUAGAUAUAUGGAGGAGCACCAGUGGCGAAGGCGGCUCUCUGGUCUGUAACGGACGCUGAGGCUCGAAAGCGUGGGGAGCAAACAGG